UACGAGGGGGGCGAGCGUUGUUCGGAAUUAUUGGGCGUAAAGGGUGCGUAGGCGGUUUGGUAAGUCUGAUGUGAAAUCUAUGGGCUCAACUCAUAGUCUGCAUCGGAAACUGCCGGGCUUGAGUGUGGGAGAGGUGAGUGGAAUUCCUGGUGUAGCGGUGAAAUGCGUAGAUAUCAGGAGGAACACCUGUGGCGAAAGCGGCUCACUGGACCAUAACUGACGCUGAUGCACGAAGGCUAGGGGAGCAAACAGG
This 253-nucleotide ribosomal RNA is filed under the name uncultured bacterium. RNAcentral's name for it is "partial 16S ribosomal RNA". It matches the Rfam family "Bacterial small subunit ribosomal RNA", at positions 524 to 776 of the family's 1533-position model. The record is from RNAcentral.